CAAGCUAAAAUGAUUGAAAUGCAAAAUAAAAGAUUUGAAGAGAUUGAGAAGUUUACGAGGAUGACCAAGGAUCAAGCAGGCAUGUAGGUUGAUGAAAAUGAUUAUUCAUUAGAAGAAUCUUAUUGACAAACACUUUUAUUGGCAAUGGUGGAAAAUAGUUUGGGUUGCAUCAGAAGAUUUGAUUUUGUGUUUUUGGAAAUAUUUUGACAUAGGAUUUUAGUAAAUGAUUUAUGGAUUAAAUGUUUAGCAUCAAAAUAUUUGGUGUUGUGUUUUUGCAAAUAUUUUGACAUAGAAUUUUAGUAAAUGACUUGUUGCUUAGAUGUUUAACAUCAAAAUAUUUGAUUGUAAUUUUGAAAAUAUUCUGACAUAAGAUUUGGUAAUGUAUUUAUGGGUUUGAUGUUAGUAGUUUGUAAAUACUUUGGUAUGGAUGUUUUAGAUUGUCAGAGAAUUGUAAUUAUGUUUAUUGGGAUUUUUCAUAGCUAUUAAUUUUGAAUUAGUAUGAAUGUCUUGCACAGGUGUAUAAUUAUUUACAUUACAUUUGUGUAUAUAUUGU
Molecule: non-coding RNA, 553 nt
Organism: Camellia sinensis
Lineage: Eukaryota; Viridiplantae; Streptophyta; Magnoliopsida; Ericales; Theaceae
Source: RefSeq, a predicted model, not a curated record